This 254-nucleotide ribosomal RNA is filed under the name uncultured bacterium. RNAcentral describes it as "partial 16S ribosomal RNA". It matches the Rfam family "Bacterial small subunit ribosomal RNA", at positions 524 to 776 of the family's 1533-position model. The record is from RNAcentral.
UACGGGGGGAGCAAGCGUUGUUCGGAUUUACUGGGCGUAAAGGGCGCGUAGGCGGCCACCGCAAGUCGACUGUGAAAUCUCUGGGCUUAACCCAGAAAGGUCAGCCGAUACUGCGGGGCUAGAGUGCAGAAGGGGCAACUGGAAUUCUCGGUGUAGCGGUGAAAUGCGUAGAUAUUGGGAAGAACACCUGAGGCGAAGGCGGGUUGCUGGGCUGAUACUGACGCUGAGGCGCGAAAGCGUGGGGAGCGAACAGG